CAGACGGAGGACGGCUACUUCUCACGUGGCGGAUGAGGAUGAUACGUCUCCUCCUCGACAGCUGCUGGACAGCUGCGUCCUCCUCCCCUCCUAGCGGCUGCUGUACCCGCCCAGCACCCUUGGUUUAUCACAGAAAGGCGGUUGGUCUGAAGCCAAAGGUGGAAUGGUGGAAGCCACAGAAAUUGGGCUGGCUCAAGCUACAGCAGGCUGGCACCACCUAAAGAGCAAGAGUUGGCGACUCAGAAGGUCGAUACACAACUGUCAAUUAUAAGAAGGCAUGGCUUCUUCCGGUUCCGUGGCGAGGCCACCGUGUGCUAACCGCGAGGACAUGCCGGACAAGUGGACAGACGCCGAGUUGGAUAAGGUGAAGGACAAAGAUAUGAGA
Molecule: long non-coding RNA, 385 nt
Organism: Aegilops tauschii subsp. strangulata
Lineage: Eukaryota; Viridiplantae; Streptophyta; Magnoliopsida; Poales; Poaceae
Source: RefSeq, a predicted model, not a curated record